UGUUGACGGAAAUUUCCGAAUUUUCGGGAAUUUUCGGGUUUUUUAUAUUUUCUCAGUAUUUUCGAGUUCUAUACUGUAUUUAUCUCCUGUGCCUAUAUAUAGGUCCUUUCCCUGACCUAUUAGACACAUCUUUUCACAUCUCUUCACCUCCUUUCUUUUUCUUUUUCUUUUUUUCAGUUUUACAUUCAGUUUUCAUAGAUUAGAUUUAUUUCUGCAGAUUCAAGCUGUUCAUCCAGAAUUUCUUCCGGGUUUUAUCUAUUUCAUUUAUUUUAAUUGCUUUCUUUUUAUUUAUGCUUUUGAUUUAUUUUAGUAUGUCUGGCUAGUUCGUUAAUCUGAACCUAGGGUUUGUACAUAGCUGAUUAAUUAUGUGUGUAUGAUUUAUUGAUAUCAAUUUGCC
Molecule: long non-coding RNA, 397 nt
Filed under: Salvia miltiorrhiza (redroot sage)
Lineage: Eukaryota; Viridiplantae; Streptophyta; Magnoliopsida; Lamiales; Lamiaceae
Description: long non-coding RNA (SMIL_LNC012850)
Source: RNAcentral